UUAUUUAGCUUAAAAUCUGGGUGUGUCAAUUUUAGAUUUAGGGGUGCCAAGCACUCCCGUAUAUGUGGCAAUGGUAGUAAUGCUAUAAUAAUUGUACAGUUUUCAUUUUUAGCUGUCUAGCUAUAACGAACAGUUGGUAAAAUGGUAUGGGACAAUUUUUGAACAUGCCAUCAGUAUAAUACAUCACAAUAAGCAAAACAUGUCAAGUUAGUUUC
Non-coding RNA from Cinara cedri, 215 nucleotides. Lineage: Eukaryota; Metazoa; Arthropoda; Insecta; Hemiptera; Aphididae. The record is from the annotation of a GenBank genome assembly.